RNAcentral lists this long non-coding RNA (1818 nucleotides) under Capsicum annuum. RNAcentral's name for it is "long non-coding RNA (CANN_LNC018189)". Lineage: Eukaryota; Viridiplantae; Streptophyta; Magnoliopsida; Solanales; Solanaceae. The record is from RNAcentral.
UGUGAGUGAGUUCGGAUCUAGGGGAUGACUACUCAUCAAUAUUUUAUACUUCUUUCCAUCCAACUCAAAACCAAAUGAAUAGGAAUAACAGGUAAAUCUAUGAUCAAUGGAAUCGAGGCAAGGAAGAUAUCUUACUAUUCUUGUAGUCGGAUUAUAAAUAACAGGGGGAUGCUCCAUUGCACUCCAUAGGGUGUCUGCCAAAUCGCGCCGGGUACAUUAUGGAGUAUUAAUUGAGUUGAACAUAUAUAACUUGUUUAUCCAAAAAAAGGAAAAAUGUAUGUACUCAUUUUUCUCGGUAAUCAGGAAUUGAAAAUCCAGUUAUUUCAGUCUCUGUUUACGUUGGUGGAAAAAGUAAAAAGAAGCUAAGUCUCUAAUAUUACGAUUAGAGUUCCAUUUUGCUAAAAGAAAACAAGAGACGAUGAUGUCUUCCAUGAGAAUUAAUACCUUAAAAAACAGAAAAACUAUGCUCCAAGAUAAUCUAUUUCAGAAUUAACAAUAGAUACACGAUAAGAGCCUAUCUACAUGACUGUAGAUACCAAUAAUCCUAACAUUUUCUGCAAGGUCCGUGAUUUUUGUUUCUCUCUAACUCUUCUUCUUCAAAUCAUAAUAAACAAUCCAGCUUCCGUUGAACAUCGAGUUAGAGAUGAACACAAUCUCACCAUCAGGAGUACUACCAGAAAUGCAACCAAUGAAAUUCUUCAUCAAGCUAGAACAAAGUGUCUCAGAAAACGUGAUGGUGUGCUUCACCCAUUCUUCAUUUUCACAACUCUGUAAAAUCCUCAAAUAGAUCUCAUUCACAUUCCAUCUCGACUGACUGAUGACAGCUAAUUUUCCUUUAACUUGCAUCAAGUUACAAAAUAUUCCUCCAAGAACAUCUAUUACGUCGGCCCACAAUGAGAUAAUUCUAAAAUUCUCCGUCCUAACAUUAAAUGUCACUAUGCAUCUUUUAUCUUCAUGAAUACCUAGAAAAUAGAUAAAUCCUUCCAUGCAAAGUCCUCUGCUCAGUAACAGUAAUGACGAACAAGGUUCACUUUUAAUCUCUCUCCAUGAUUCAUUUGAGCCGAGAGUUAAAACCCAAUGUUUUGUGAGUGAGUUCGGAUCUAGGGGAUGACUACUCAUCAAUAUUUUAUACUUCUUUCCAUCCAACUCAAAACCAAAUGAAUAGGAAUAACAGGUAAAUCUAUGAUCAAUGGAAUCGAGGCAAGGAAGAUAUCUUACUAUUCUUGUAGUCGGAUUAUAAAUAACAGGGGGAUGCUCCAUUGCACUCCAUAAGCAGAAUAAACCGUUAACAUAAUCAAAUCCAUCAUAUUUAAUGCUCAAUACGAACAACACUGGAUCUUUUUUGUUCCACCUUCUGAUCGAUGGUGUAAGAAAAAUUUCCAUCCCUUGAACGUGUGAGGAAUUUUAUCCUACCAGGAUGAGAUAUAGAGUGGCUAUGAUGGGUAUCUACAAAAUAUGGAUUCGAAAUAAGAGCAUUAUAAGAUUUAGAAAGGCACUUGAAGCGCAUUAAAGAAUCAACAGGAAGCCUAGAAAAUAUAUCACAAAUAAUCUCUUCAGGUAUUGAAGAGUUUCUUGAAUUACUCUUUCUCUUUUCAUUCUCCAUUGGGGAAAGCGUUUGUUACCUGAAAUAGUUCCAUGUUAAUCUCUUCAUGUAUUGAAUACUUGAAUGAUUCCAAUAUUAAACACGUUAAUGGAAAAUAACAUAUAUCAAGAAGUUUGAGAGCAUACCUUUACCUUCUGAUCUACACUUGGAACAGAAACUGCUAGUUAUAAACUAGAAAAACAAUAGAAUUUCAAGAAAGAAAAUGCAUUGCGCAA